GCGCACGCUGGCGGCAGGCCUCACACAUGCAAGUCGAACGAACUCUUCGGAGUUAGUGGCGGACGGGUGAGUAACACGUGGGAACGUGCCUUUUGGUUCGGAAUAACUCAGGGAAACUUGUGCUAAUACCGAAUGUGCCCUUCGGGGAAAAGAUUUAUCGCCAUUAGAGCGGCCCGCGUCUGAUUAGCUAGUUGGUGAGGUAACGGCUCACCAAGGCGACGAUCAGUAGCUGGUCUGAGAGGAUGACCAGCCACACUGGGACUGAGACACGGCCCAGACUCCUACGGGAGGCAGCAGUGGGGAAUCUUGCGCAAUGGGCGAAAGCCUGACGCAGCCAUGCCGCGUGAAUGAUGAAGGUCUUAGGAUUGUAAAAUUCUUUCACCGGGGACGAUAAUGACGGUACCCGGAGAAGAAGCCCCGGCUAACUUCGUG
RNAcentral lists this ribosomal RNA (432 nucleotides) under uncultured bacterium. Its description in RNAcentral is "partial 16S ribosomal RNA". It matches the Rfam family "Bacterial small subunit ribosomal RNA", at positions 29 to 507 of the family's 1533-position model. The record is from RNAcentral.